Molecule: ribosomal RNA, 490 nt
Filed under: uncultured bacterium
Lineage: Bacteria
Description: partial 16S ribosomal RNA
Rfam family: Bacterial small subunit ribosomal RNA
Source: RNAcentral
AUUGAACGCUGGCGGCAGGCCUAACACAUGCAAGUCGAACGGUAACAGGAAGAAGCUUGCUUCUUUGCUGCCGAGUGGCGGACGGGUGAGUCAUGUCUGGGAAACUGCCUGAUGGAGGGGGAUAACUACUGGAAACGGUAGCUAAUACCGCAUAACGUCGCAAGACCAAAGAGGGGGACCUUCGGGCCUCUUGCCAUCGGAUGUGCCCAGAUGGGAUUAGCUAGUAGGUGGGGUAACGGCUCACCUAGGCGACGAUCCCUAGCUGGUCUGAGAGGAUGACCAGCCACACUGGAACUGAGACACGGUCCAGACUCCUACGGGAGGCAGCAGUGGGGAAUAUUGCACAAUGGGCGCAAGCCUGAUGCAGCCAUGCCGCGUGUAUGAAGAAGGCCUUCGGGUUGUAAAGUACUUUCAGCGGGGAGGAAGGGAGUAAAGUUAAUACCUUUGCUCAUUGACGUUACCCGCAGAAGAAGCACCGGCUAACUCCGUG